This 270-nucleotide ribosomal RNA is filed under the name uncultured archaeon. RNAcentral describes it as "partial 16S ribosomal RNA". It matches the Rfam family "Archaeal small subunit ribosomal RNA", at positions 477 to 747 of the family's 1478-position model. The record is from RNAcentral.
CAGCACCUCAAGUGGUCAGGAUGAUUAUUGGGCCUAAAGCAUCCGUAGCCGGCGCUGUAAGUUUUCGGUUAAAUCUGUACGCUCAACGUACAGGCUGCCGGGAAUACUGCAGCGCUAGGGAGUGGGAGAGGUAGACGGUACUCGGUAGGAAGGGGUAAAAUCCUUUGAUCUAUUGAUGACCACCUGUGGCGAAGGCGGUCUACCAGAACACGUCCGACGGUGAGGGACGAAGCCCUGGGGCGCAAACCGGAUUAGAUACCCGAGUAGUCC